Molecule: ribosomal RNA, 253 nt
Filed under: uncultured bacterium
Lineage: Bacteria
Description: partial 16S ribosomal RNA
Rfam family: Bacterial small subunit ribosomal RNA
Source: RNAcentral
UACGUAGGGGGCAAGCGUUGUCCGGAUUCAUUGGGCGUAAAGAGCGUGUAGGCGGCCAGGUAGGUCGGUUGUGAAAACUGGAGGCUCAACCUUCAGAGGUCGAUCGAAACCAUCUGGCUAGAGUCCGGGAGAGGAGAGUGGAAUUCCUGGUGUAGCGGUGAAAUGCGCAGAUAUCAGGAAGAACACCCGUGGCGAAAGCGGCUCUCUGGAACGGUACUGACGCUGAGGAGCGAAAGUGUGGGGAGCGAACAGG